AUGAUUCUCAUCAUAUUAGAAUUAUAAUGUCAAUGUUGGCACCUUUGAAUGUGGAGCGGGCAGUGUGUGUCGCUGUCAUUGGUUGGAAAGAGGUGUAGACACGGGUUGUAUUCCAGUUACUGUAUAAUUGUUAUUGGCAUAUAUGACAAGAAUUGUAAUUAUUAUUAAGAUACAUAUAUUGUUUUCUUACUUAUUAACAAGUUUGGUAUUGGUUAGUAAUGUGUAUUUGUUUGUCAAGAGGAAGUUUUCUUUUAGGGUCUGUGUAUGUAACACGGAUAUAUAUUAUACCGCACUCAGGGUGUAGGGGGAAGGUAGGCAGAGGUACAGUUGGUGCCUGUCAGGGGUGAGUGGCGGUUGUUUGACUGAGGUGAGUUUUGUGAUAACAUUAUUUCUCUGAUUUGUUUGACUUAUGUUAUGCCGCUGAUUGUGCAUAUUGGUUGGUGUUAUAUUGAAUGUGGUGCUGAUAGGAGGAUUUGAUUAAGUGUAACUUUGCAGCAUAGUUGGGGUAAUGCUGUAAUCAGACAUAUGGUGAAGUCUGCCUUGGCUGAUGAUGGGCGGUCAUUUUGUGAGUACUAUUUUAUAUGUAUCGUGUGUCAUUGCAAUAGUGAAUAAUAGAAUGGGAUAUGUGUUCAUCUUAUGUUAUUCUUCUGUUUACUGGGUGAAGUUACAAGAUAUUGAAGGGAGUUACAUGAUAUUGAGGUAUGCUGUGUUUAUGUUGACAUUAAAUUUGCAGGCUGAAUCAAUCAAUAAAUCAAGAUACAGCAAGUCAGCCCAAUCAUAGUCAUUAUCCUACACUACAAUUCAGCAAAAUUCGCAGAGCAGCCAUGGAUGACUUGAAAAGGGAACGUGCUAAUGCCAAGAGGAGAUUCACCAGGAAGGUGGGACUCUUCAAGGAUGCACACAAGAGAGGAGACUCCACAGCAACCCUACAAGUAUUGUAUAGUGAAGUUUGUGAUUCUUUCAAAGUAGUGGAUGUGGUGAAUGAGAAAAUUAUUGACCUUUUAGAUGGUAGUUCAUCUUGCCAAGAGUAUGAAGACUAUAUCAUGGAAUUGGAAACUAUAAAGUGCACUCUUCUUGAGACAUUAAAAGAAAAACCUAAGGCUGUACUUGCCAUGAAAAAAAUUGAGCCUCCUAAAUUUGGUGGAUCUGUAAGGUCAUUUCCCUCAUUUAUUAGGGAUUAUACAAGACUGGUUGAAUCACAACAUGGUGAGGAUCCCUAUGUACUCAGAAUGUCACUAGAGGGGGAACCCAGGAGACUUGUAGAAGAUUUAAAUGAUUACAAAAGAAUGUGGGAGAGAUUGAAUGAAACAUAUGGUCCUAAAUUUGGUGGAUCUGUAAGGUCAUUUCCCUCAUUUAUUAGGGAUUAUACAAGACUGGUUGAAUCACAACAUGGUGAGGAUCCCUAUGUACUCAGAAUGUCACUAGAGGGGGAACCCAGGAGACUUGUAGAAGAUUUAAAUGAUUACAAAAGAAUGUGGGAGAGAUUGAAUGAAACAUAUGGUCAUGAAGGAAAGUUAAUUGAUUCAAUCUUGGGAGACAUUAGGUCAUAUAAGCCAAUAAGUGAAGGUGAUGAUAAACGGUUAAUCAAGCUAAUCAAUACUGUAGAAAAGGUAUGGUUAGAUGUAAGCAACUUGAACCUAACAAAGGAGUUGGAGAAUGUUACUGUCCUGACUCAAGUAGAAAAAUUGUUACCCUCUAUGUUGAAAAAGGAAUGGGCUAGUAAAGUACAACAAGUGAAGACUGACAAGUUUAAAGAGUUGGUUGCAUUCUUAACAGAGCAUCGAAAAGCUUUAGAAUACUUACAAGAUGAGUCAAGACUUGGUGCGUCAAAGGUAACGGUGCAUACCACUGAUGUAUCAAACACAAAAGAAAAUGACUUAUUAGAAGUCAUAAAACUGUUAGCUGUGGGACAAGAGAAACUACAAAACCAGAUGUCAGAGUGUUUAACUAAUAUAGCUCAAGUAGCAGAUGGAAGAUAUUGCAGUAGGAAUUACACAUCAAAAGUUAAUGGUGUUCAGAAGGAGAAGUAUUGUCUUGUUCAUGAUAGUGAAUCUCAUCACUUACAGGAUUGUAUGACAUUUAAGCAAUGGACAGCUGAAAAUCAAAUGGAUUUUUUAAAGCAAAAUAGAAUUUGUUUUGCAUGUCUCAAAAGAGGGCACCUAUCUAGGGAUUGUGAUAAGCAAAUGCCUUGUAGAGUAAAGGUAAAGGGAGACAUUUGUGGUAAGCACCACCAUUCAAUUUUGCACCCUAUAUUUAGCAGUCCUUAUACUUCUACAAUGGAUGUUAUGAGUAACCAUUUGACAAAGAAAGGUGCAUUUUUGAUGACUGGGUUUGUGGAUAGUGGAGGUGUUUCUGUUCCCACAUUAUAUGAUGCAGGAAGUAACAUCAGUCUGAUCACUUUUAGAAUGGCAAAGCAACUAGGACUCAAAGGUACUCCUAUACAGCUUUCAGUGACAAAGGUCGGUGACCACACAGAAGAAUUGGAUAGUUUUGUUUAUAAGAUGUCCUUGAGGGAUCAAACAGGGAAGGAAAAAUUUGUUGAAGUUUGUGGAAUUUCCGAAAUAACUGGUGCUCAUCAACAGGUGAAUUUAUCGGAAAUUGCUAAGAAAUUUGAAGUGCAAGAAAAGGAUAUCCAAAGGCCUGAAGGGCGUAUAGAACUACUAAUAGGAUCUGAUCACUGUACUUUAAUGCCACAAGUUAAAAAAACCAUAGAUAAUGUUCAGUUAAUGUCAAAUGAGUUUGGUUUCUGUAUCAGAGGUAGAUUGGAUGACAAAGGAAAGGGACAUAGCUAUUGCGUGCAAAUUAAUCACGUGAGUUGUAAUGACACCACAGAUUGGCAUUUCAGGACUAAACCUAAUGUGGGCAAGUUGAUAGAAAAUUAUUUUUUGAAUGAAAGCUUAGGAACAGAAUGCAAUCCUAAGUGUGGAGGCUGCAAAUGUGGAAAAUGCUCAACCAAGGGAAAUUUAACCAUUAAGGAAGAAAGAGAGAAGAAACUUAUUGAAGAUGGAUUAACUUAUGAUGCGAAACAUCAGUGCUGGAUAGCUAAGUAUCCUUGGAUUUAUGAUCCGGCUAAACUACCUGAUAAUUAUCCUAUGGCAUUUGCUAGAUUAAAGGCCACUGAACAGAGAUUAAUGAAGAUGGGGUCGACCCAGUGUGUAAAGUAUCAAGAACAAAUAAAAGACAUGUUGGAUAGAGGAGUAGCGGAGAAAUUAUCAAAGGAGGAGAAUGGAAGUUAGCGGAAGUUGUAGAAGGUAUACCAGGAAGGGAUGGAAAGAUCAGAGAUGUGUUGUUGAGGUAUAAAAUUAAUGAACCAGGAAAACAGUACAGGGGCCAACAUGACAAGCAAAUGGUAAGAUCAGUACAUAGACUGGUGGUGUUGCUCCCAGUCGAUCAACAAUAGAAGUAUAGAAGCCUUUGAUUUGUGGUGGGGGGAGUGUAAUAUGAUUCUCAUCAUAUUAGAAUUAUAAUGUCAAUGUUGGCACCUUUGAAUGUGGAGCGGGCAGUGUGUGUCGCUGUCAUUGGUUGGAAAGAGGUGUAGACACGGGUUGUAUUCCAGUUACUGUAUAAUUGUUAUUGGCAUAUAUGACAAGAAUUGUAAUUAUUAUUAAGAUACAUAUAUUGUUUUCUUACUUAUUAACAAGUUUGGUAUUGGUUAGUAAUGUGUAUUUGUUUGUCAAGAGGAAGUUUUCUUUUAGGGUCUGUGUAUGUAACACGGAUAUAUAUUAUACCGCACUCAGGGUGUAGGGGGAAGGUAGGCAGAGGUACAGUUGGUGCCUGUCAGGGGUGAGUGGCGGUUGUUUGACUGAGCAUAGUUGGGGUAAUGCUGUAAUCAGACAUAUGGUGAAGUCUGCCUUGGCUGAUGAUGGGCGGUCAUUUUGUGAGUACUAUUUUAUAUGUAUCGUGUGUCAUUGCAAUAGUGAAUAAUAGAAUGGGAUAUGUGUUCAUCUUAUGUUAUUCUUCUGUUUACUGGGUGAAGUUACAAGAUAUUGAAGGGAGUUACAUGAUAUUGAGGUAUGCUGUGUUUAUGUUGACAUUAAAUUUGCAGGCUGAAUCAAUCAAUAAAUCAAGAUACAGCAA
Molecule: RNA transcript, 4077 nt
Organism: Scylla paramamosain (green mud crab)
Lineage: Eukaryota; Metazoa; Arthropoda; Malacostraca; Decapoda; Portunidae
Exons: 2
Source: RefSeq, a predicted model, not a curated record